RNAcentral lists this ribosomal RNA (709 nucleotides) under Pseudomonadota bacterium. RNAcentral describes it as "bacterial SSU rRNA". It matches the Rfam family "Bacterial small subunit ribosomal RNA", at positions 28 to 728 of the family's 1533-position model. The record is from RNAcentral. Lineage: Bacteria; Pseudomonadati; Pseudomonadota.
AUUGAACGCUGGCGGAAUGCUUUACACAUGCAAGUCGAACGGCAGCACGGAGAGCUUGCUCUCUGGUGGCGAGUGGCGAACGGGUGAGUAAUAUAUCGGAACGUAUCCAAUAAUGGGGGAUAACGAGUCGAAAGAUUCGCUAAUACCGCAUACGCCCUACGGGGGAAAGCAGGGGAUCGUAAGACCUUGCGUUAAUGGAGCGGCCGAUAUCUGAUUAGCUUGUUGGUGAGGUAAAGGCUCACCAAGGCGACGAUCAGUAGCUGGUUUGAGAGAACGACCAGCCACACUGGAACUGAGACACGGUCCAGACUCCUACGGGAGGCAGCAGUGGGGAAUUUUGGACAAUGGGGGCAACCCUGAUCCAGCCAUUCCGCGUGAGUGAAGAAGGCCUUCGGGUUGUAAAGCUCUUUCGCAAGGGAAGAAAACUUAUGAUCGAAUAAAUCAUGAGGUUGACGGUACCUUGAUAAGAAGCACCGGCUAACUACGUGCCAGCAGCCGCGGUAAUACGUAGGGUGCGAGCGUUAAUCGGAAUUACUGGGCGUAAAGCGUGCGCAGGCGGUUUUGUAAGUCGGAUGUGAAAUCCCCGGGCUCAACCUGGGAACUGCGUUCGAAACUGCAAGGCUAGAGUGUGUCAGAGGGGGGUAGAAUUCCACGUGUAGCAGUGAAAUGCGUAGAGAUGUGGAGGAAUACCAAUGGCGAAGGCAGCCCC